CUUUAUUGCUAAUGAUAAUCACUUUCGUAAUGAUGGGGUCAGAGGUUCGAAUCCUCUAAGCGGCACCA
This 68-nucleotide transfer RNA is filed under the name Novosphingobium hassiacum. RNAcentral describes it as "tRNA-OTHER". The record is from RNAcentral. Lineage: Bacteria; Pseudomonadati; Pseudomonadota; Alphaproteobacteria; Sphingomonadales; Sphingomonadaceae.